GCCUACGGGGGGCAGCAGUGAGGAAUAUUGGUCAAUGGCCGAGAGGCUGAACCAGCCAAGUCGCGUGAGGGAUGACGGCCCUACGGGUUGUAAACCUCUUUUGUCGGGGAGCAAGACCCGCCACGAGUGGCGGAGCGAGAGUACCCGAAGAAAAAGCAUCGGCUAACUCCGUGCCAGCAGCCGCGGUAAUACGGAGGAUGCGAGCGUUAUCCGGACUUAUUGGGUUUAAAGGGUGCGCAGGCGGACCAUCAAGUCAGCGGUAAAAUCGUGGGGCCCAACCCCCUCCCGCCGUUGAACCGGGCGGC
This 305-nucleotide ribosomal RNA is filed under the name uncultured bacterium. RNAcentral describes it as "bacterial SSU rRNA". It matches the Rfam family "Bacterial small subunit ribosomal RNA", at positions 337 to 640 of the family's 1533-position model. The record is from RNAcentral.